This 306-nucleotide long non-coding RNA is filed under the name Trifolium pratense (red clover). Its description in RNAcentral is "long non-coding RNA (TPRA_LNC012301)". Lineage: Eukaryota; Viridiplantae; Streptophyta; Magnoliopsida; Fabales; Fabaceae. The record is from RNAcentral.
CAAGAGUAGUAAAGGUUAGCAGCUUCUCAGACUACAAAACUCCAAUAAUUCCCAAAGAUGUGAAAAUGGGAUUGAGGUGCAAGUCUCUCCUGUAAAUAUUUUUUAGUAUUUUGAUUCCAACAAUUAAUUUGAAUGAAUGAAUGAAGAAGAAAUCAUAAUCCAAUGUUUCAUGUUGUUACAAUAAGCCCCCCAUCAAGAAGAUAGUUAAAUUCUUUAUACUGCUUUUGGGGUUGAUUUAUAUGGAUGUAGAAGUCAUGCUGCUGUUGUUGGAUAAAGAUACUUGUUAGGAGAGUGAUCAUGUCAUAG